CUUGGACAAGUGCAAGGGGCUGAUUGAGGAGACUGAAUCCUUCACUUACUACCAUGGCAAGAUCCUACGAGAAUGUAUUCAGCUGAAGAAAAAUGUACAGGUGUCAAGACUGAAGAACAGAUUGCUGCGGAAGGAGCAGAUUGAACUGCAAGAGUCCUGUGAGGAGGUGAAGAGGCUCUUUAAGGAGAUCCAUGAGAAGAUCUGUGACCCCUGUGCUGAGCAACAUCAGGAGGAAGACAACAUGGAUGAAAGCCUGAAGAACCUGCAUAAGCAAGAGGAGGUGGUCACCCAGCAAAGGGAACUUGCAGAAAAGCUGCAGAAUCACGUCAAUAUCUCUGAAAUGAGGCCAGAAAAUCUCCAAACCCAGCUGGAACAGGCUACAGACCAGGAAGACAGCCUCCUGCAGACAGCUCCUGAAGCCGGAGCAAUAGGUGUCACAGGCAACUCCUGAGAGACCUGAGGAGCCCAAAGAAGCCACCAACAACUUGAACCAUGGCAAUGUCUCCCCUAGGAUCAAAGCCUCCUCCUCAGAAGACAACCUGCAAAGCCCCAAGGAGGCAUGACUAUCUUGGCUUUGAAAAGGCUUUUUACAAUUGGUGACUGCCUUCCUACCAUGUUUCCAAAGCCAACCACAGCUGCAGAUCUGUGCUACAAAAUGUGUAGAAAGAUUACGUUAGUUCUUUAUUUAAACAGUCUGUUCAGUUGAGUUGUUUU
This 714-nucleotide long non-coding RNA is filed under the name Cricetulus griseus (Chinese hamster). Its description in RNAcentral is "lncRNA (ENSCGRG00015032454.1)". Lineage: Eukaryota; Metazoa; Chordata; Mammalia; Rodentia; Cricetidae. The record is from RNAcentral.